RNAcentral lists this long non-coding RNA (283 nucleotides) under Ananas comosus (pineapple). RNAcentral's name for it is "long non-coding RNA (ACOM_LNC019748)". The record is from RNAcentral. Lineage: Eukaryota; Viridiplantae; Streptophyta; Magnoliopsida; Poales; Bromeliaceae.
CAGCUGCACGAAGCCCUGGGUUGUAGAAGGCCGGGUUAGCGCGAUGGAGAAAUUAUUUGAUGAUUUGUUUAUACCAGAGAGGGAGCAGGUAUAUUUGAGAGUACACUGCUUGGCUGGCGAUGCGCAUGCUUAGUGGAGGAGGAUGAGGCGAGGAUGAGGGUUGGUGGCGUUGCAAAUGAAGUGGGAUGAGUUCUGCGGAAAGCUGUAUGGGAUGUAUUUUCCAAACAGCGUGAGCAGAAGUUCGAGGAGGACAUGAAAAAGCUUCAGCAGGGGGAGCGAGUAG